AAGUCGUAACAAGGUCUCCGUAGGUGAACCUGCGGAGGGAUCAUUACAGAGUUCGUGCCCCUCGGGGUAGAUCUCCCACCCUAUGCCUACAUACCUUUGUUGCUUUGGCAGGCCCGUCCAGCCCCCGCGCUAGACCGCCGGCUCCGGCUGGCGAGCGCCUGCCAGAGGACCCCAAACUCUGAGUGUUAGUGAUGUCUGAGUACUAUACAAUAGUUAAAA
RNAcentral lists this unclassified non-coding RNA (219 nucleotides) under plant metagenome. RNAcentral describes it as "partial contains small subunit ribosomal RNA and internal transcribed spacer 1". The stretch from base 1 to 46 matches the Rfam family "Eukaryotic small subunit ribosomal RNA", at positions 1786 to 1831 of the family's 1831-position model. The record is from RNAcentral.